AGGACGAACGCUGGCGGCGUGCUUAACACAUGCAAGUCGAGCGAGGCCCUUCCUUCGGGAAGGAGCCCUAGCGGCGAACGGGUGAGUAACACGUGGGCAACCUGCCCCUAGCACUGGGAUAACUCCGGGAAGCCGGGGCUAAUACCGGAUAUGACCUUGGAAGGCAUCUUCCUUGGUGUAAAGGAUUCUGGCUAGGGAUGGGCCCGCGGCCUAUCAGCUUGUUGGUGGGUAAUGGCCUACCAAGGCGACGACGGGUAGCCGGCCUGAGAGGGCGACCGGCCACACUGGGACUGAGACACGGCCCAGACUCCUACGGGAGGCAGCAGUGGGGAAUAUUGCACAAUGGGCGAAAGCCUGAUGCAGCGACGCCGCGUGAGGGAUGAAUGCCUUCGGGUUGUAAACCUCUUUCAGCAGGGACGAAGCGAAAGUGACGGUACUGCAGAAGAGCACCGGCCAACUACGCGCCAGCAGCCGCGGUAA
RNAcentral lists this ribosomal RNA (480 nucleotides) under uncultured bacterium. RNAcentral describes it as "SSU rRNA". It matches the Rfam family "Bacterial small subunit ribosomal RNA", at positions 26 to 523 of the family's 1533-position model. The record is from RNAcentral.